UACAGAGGGGGCAAGCGUUAUUCGGAAUUAUUGGGCGUAAAGGGCGCGUAGGCGGCUUUGCAAGUGACGGGUGAAAGCCCUCGGCUUAACCGAGGAACUGCCUGUCAGACUGUAAGGCUUGAGACCGGGAGAGGUGAGUGGAAUUCCCAGUGUAGCGGUGAAAUGCGUAGAUAUUGGGAGGAACACCGGUGGCGAAGGCGGCUAUCUGGACCGGUACUGACGCUGAUACGCGAAAGCCAGGGGAGCAAACGGG
This 253-nucleotide ribosomal RNA is filed under the name uncultured bacterium. RNAcentral's name for it is "partial 16S ribosomal RNA". It matches the Rfam family "Bacterial small subunit ribosomal RNA", at positions 524 to 776 of the family's 1533-position model. The record is from RNAcentral.